GUCCACGCCGUAAACGAUGAGUGCUAGGUGCUGCGGGUAUUGACCCCUGCGGUGCCGUAGCUAACGCGUUAAGCACUCCGCCUGGGGAGUACGGCCGCAAGGCUAAAACUCAAAGGAAUUGACGGGGGCCCCGCACAAGCGGUGGAGCAUGUGGUUCAAUUCGACGCAACGCGCAGAACCUUACCUGGGUUAAAUCCACUCAAACCUGGCAGAGAUGCCGGGGUGCCUUUCGGGGAAUGAGUGAGAAGGUGCUGCAUGGCUGUCGU
This 266-nucleotide ribosomal RNA is filed under the name uncultured bacterium. Its description in RNAcentral is "partial 16S ribosomal RNA". It matches the Rfam family "Bacterial small subunit ribosomal RNA", at positions 793 to 1055 of the family's 1533-position model. The record is from RNAcentral.